This 501-nucleotide long non-coding RNA is filed under the name Salmo trutta (river trout). Its description in RNAcentral is "lncRNA (ENSSTUG00000040370.1)". The record is from RNAcentral. Lineage: Eukaryota; Metazoa; Chordata; Actinopteri; Salmoniformes; Salmonidae.
CCCUGUGGACAGAGCUGUGUUGGUCAGUCAGCCAGCUCAAGGACUUUCCUUCAGUGUACAGUAAGCUAGACAGGCCAGCCAGAUCCAUUAUGGGAUCACUGCUAGGGCAGCAGACCACAGCGGUCACACCAGUUCAUGGGAACUCCUGCUCCAUUUUUCAUAGGAGGGAUAUUUCAAUGUCUACAGCCGGGUUGGGCCAAGUUCAGCCAGAGGAGGAAAGUGACGGGGAAGAUUAUCUUCGUUGCACCUCUGCCUACGCUGCAUCACUGUGUAUUUUCUCUCUGUGCGUGAGUGGAUUUCAUGGUUGAAGGUGCAAUCUGAAACAGGAUUAGCAUUACAGUAGACAUCUGACCACUGACUGACGAUCACAUGCAGCACAUGGAAGAGCAUCACAAAUCGGAUGGCUAAAGCACACCACGUCAACUGCUAUUUUAUUUAAGCGUUCUUGUUUAUUCCCAAAGCAAUAAACAUCAAUGAAACAAUGCAAGAUAUUUUAUGAAC